This 468-nucleotide ribosomal RNA is filed under the name uncultured bacterium. Its description in RNAcentral is "partial 16S ribosomal RNA". It matches the Rfam family "Bacterial small subunit ribosomal RNA", at positions 28 to 507 of the family's 1533-position model. The record is from RNAcentral.
GACGAACGCUGGCGGCGUGCUUAACACAUGCAAGUCGAACGGAAAGGCCCUGCUUUUGUGGUGUGCUCGAGUGGCGAACGGGUGAGUAACACGUGAGUAACCUGCCCUUGACUUUGGGAUAACUUCAGGAAACUGGGGCUAAUACCGUAUAGGAUCUCCUGCUGCAUGGUGGGGGUUGGAAAGUCUCGGCUGUUGGGGAUGGACUCGCGGCUUAUCAGCUUGUUGGUGGGGUAGUGGCUUGCCAAGGCUGUGACCGGUACCCGGCCUGAGAGGGUGACCGGGCACAUUGGGACUGAGAUACGGACCAGACUCGUACGGGAGGCAGCAGUGGGGAAUCUUGCACAAUGGGCGGAAGCCUGAUGCAGCAGCGCCGCGUGCGGGAUGACGGCCUUCGGGUUGUAAACCGCUUUCGCCUGUGACGAAGCGUGAGUGACGGUAAUGGGUAAAGAAGCACCGGCUAACUACGUG